GAUGAACGCUGGCGGCGUGCCUAAUACAUGCAAGUCGAGCGAACAGACGAGGUACUUGCUCCUCUGACGUUAGCGGCGGACGGGUGAGUAACACGUGGAGAACCUACCUAUAAGACUGGGAUAACUUCGGGAAACCGAAGCUAAUACCGGAUAAAAUGUUUAACCGCAUGGUUUAACAGUGAAAGACGGAAUUGCAGUCACUUAUAGAUGGAUCCGCGCGUCAUUGGGUAGUUGGGAAGGUAACGGCUUACCAAGGCAACGUUGCGUGGCCGACCGGAGGGGGGGAUCGGCCACACGGGAAUUGAGCCAGGGUCCAGACCCCUACGGGAGGCGGCAGUGGGGAAUUUUCGGCAAUGGGCGAAGGCCUAACGGAGCAAGGCCGCGGGGUUGAAGAAGGUCUUCGAUUCGUAAACCUCUGUUAUAAGGGAAGACGAAAUGUGUAAGUAACUAUGCACCUCUUGACGGUACCUAAUCAGAAAGCCACGGCUAACUACGUG
RNAcentral lists this ribosomal RNA (497 nucleotides) under uncultured bacterium. RNAcentral's name for it is "partial 16S ribosomal RNA". It matches the Rfam family "Bacterial small subunit ribosomal RNA", at positions 28 to 507 of the family's 1533-position model. The record is from RNAcentral.